RNAcentral lists this ribosomal RNA (492 nucleotides) under uncultured bacterium. RNAcentral's name for it is "partial 16S ribosomal RNA". It matches the Rfam family "Bacterial small subunit ribosomal RNA", at positions 29 to 507 of the family's 1533-position model. The record is from RNAcentral.
AGUGAACGCUGGCGGUAGGCCUAACACAUGCAAGUCGAACGGCAGCACAGUAAGAGCUUGCUCUUACGGGUGGCGAGUGGCGGACGGGUGAGGAAUACAUCGGAAUCUACUUUUUCGUGGGCGAUAACGUAGGGAAACUUACGCUAAUACCGCAUACGACCUACGGGUGAAAGCAGGGGAUCUUCGGACCUUGCGCGAUUGAAUGAGCCGAUGUCGGAUUAGCUAGUUGGCGGGGUAAAGGCCCACCAAGGCGACGAUCCGUAGCUGGUCUGAGAGGAUGAUCAGCCACACUGGAACUGAGACACGGUCCAGACUCCUACGGGAGGCAGCAGUGGGGAAUAUUGGACAAUGGGCGCAAGCCUGAUCCAGCCAUACCGCGUGGGUGAAGAAGGCCUUCGGGUUGUAAAGCCCUUUUGUUGGGAAAGAAAAGCAGCAGGUUAAUACCCCGCUGUUCUGACAGUACCCAAAGAAUAAGCACCGGCUAACUUCGUG